Molecule: long non-coding RNA, 326 nt
Filed under: Nicotiana benthamiana
Lineage: Eukaryota; Viridiplantae; Streptophyta; Magnoliopsida; Solanales; Solanaceae
Description: long non-coding RNA (NBEN_LNC024964)
Source: RNAcentral
UGUAUCUGUCGACUUCUCCCGUUGGUCUGUACUUUGUUUUGUAUACCCACUUUACUCCAAUGGGUUUCUUUCCUCUUGGAAGGUCGGUAAGCUCCCAAUAUCAUUCUUCUCAAUAGAAUGGAUUUCCUCCUCUAUUGCUUUCACCCAACGUUCUUCUUUAAUUGCAUCCUUGAAAUCCACAGGAUCGCAAUCUGAAAAUAAGGCAAAGUUCAAAAUAUCUUUGUCAGUUAGAGUAUCAACAUCAUUACCGACAACGUAAUCCUCCAAAUGAGCCGGUAGACGUCGUUGCCUCUGUGAUCGACCAUGCUGUAUUGGUUGUAUNNNNN